This 893-nucleotide ribosomal RNA is filed under the name uncultured bacterium. Its description in RNAcentral is "bacterial SSU rRNA". It matches the Rfam family "Bacterial small subunit ribosomal RNA", at positions 51 to 928 of the family's 1533-position model. The record is from RNAcentral.
AUACAUGCAAGUAGAACGCUGAAGGAGGAGCUUGCUUCUCUGGAUGAGUUGCGAACGGGUGAGUAACGCGUAGGUAACCUGCCUGGUAGCGGGGGAUAACUAUUGGAAACGAUAGCUAAUACCGCAUAAUAGUAGAUGUUGCAUGACAUUUGCUUAAAAGGUGCAAUUGCAUCACUACCAGAUGGACCUGCGUUGUAUUAGCUAGUUGGUGGGGUAACGGCUCACCAAGGCGACGAUACAUAGCCGACCUGAGAGGGUGAUCGGCCACACUGGGACUGAGACACGGCCCAGACUCCGACGGGGGGCAGCAGUAGGGAAUCUUCGGCAAUGGACGGAAGUCUGACCGAGCAACGCCGCGUGAGUGAAGAAGGCUUUCGGAUCGUAAAGCUCUGUUGUAAGAGAAGAACGAGUGUGAGAGUGGAAAGUUCACACUGUGACGGUAUCUUACCAGAAAGGGACGGCUAACUACGUGCCAGCAGCCGCGGUAAUACGUAGGUCCCGAGCGUUGUCCGGAUUUAUUGGGCGUAAAGCGAGCGCAGGCGGUUAGAUAAGUCUGAAGUUAAAGGCUGUGGCUUAACCAUAGUACGCUUUGGAAACUGUUUAACUUGAGUGCAAGAGGGGAGAGUGGAAUUCCAUGUGUAGCGGUGAAAUGCGUAGAUAUAUGGAGGAACACCGGUGGCGAAAGCGGCUCUCUGGCUUGUAACUGACGCUGAGGCUCGAAAGCGUGGGGAGCAAACAGGAUUAGAUACCCUGGUAGUCCACGCCGUAAACGAUGAGUGCUAGGUGUUAGACCCUUUCCGGGGUUUAGUGCCGCAGCUAACGCAUUAAGCACUCCGCCUGGGGAGUACGACCGCAAGGUUGAAACUCAAAGGAAUUGACGGGGGCCCGCACAA